This 253-nucleotide ribosomal RNA is filed under the name uncultured bacterium. Its description in RNAcentral is "partial 16S ribosomal RNA". It matches the Rfam family "Bacterial small subunit ribosomal RNA", at positions 524 to 776 of the family's 1533-position model. The record is from RNAcentral.
UACAGAGGUCCCAAGCGUUGUUCGGAUUCACUGGGCGUAAAGGGUGCGUAGGUGGCCUUCUAAGUUGAACGUGAAAUCCCUGGGCUCAACCCAGGAACUGCGUCCAAGACUGGGAGGCUUGAAUCCGGGAGAGGGAUGCGGAAUUCCAGGUGUAGCGGUGAAAUGCGUAGAUAUCUGGAGGAACACCGGUGGCGAAGGCGGCAUCCUGGACCGGUAUUGACACUGAGGCGCGAAAGCCAGGGGAGCAAACGGG